Molecule: ribosomal RNA, 239 nt
Filed under: uncultured bacterium
Lineage: Bacteria
Description: partial 16S ribosomal RNA
Rfam family: Bacterial small subunit ribosomal RNA
Source: RNAcentral
CACACCGUAAACGAUGAUUACUAGAUUUUGGUCGUAAGAUCAGAGUCCAAGCGAAAGUGUUUAGUAAUCCACCUGGGGAGUACGUCCGCAAGGAUGAAACUCAAAGGAAUUGACGGGGGCCCGCACAAGCGGUGGAGCAUGUGGUUUAAUUCGAUGAUACGCGAGGAACCUUACCUGGGCUUGAAAGUUAGUGACCGAUCCUGAAAGGGAUUCUCCCGCAAGGGCACGAAACUAGGUGC